ACUCUGGGUGUAUCAGUAUUUAACAAUGUACAAUAGUACUGCAAGCUUUUCAGUUCCUUUGUCUUAUCAAUUGGUACCUGAAUCAUGAAGCUGGUCCCGACUUGUCUUCGGGUCGAGAAAAACUUGCCUGUAAUGGGGUGUAUACACCUUGUUUCUCACUCUCCGCAAUGUCCUUGCGGAUAAGUGUAUACACCUUCCAAAACAAGGUUUUCUCCAUCUAAUUAUAAUUGAAGCAGUUUUCUUUCUUGGUUAAUGAUUAGCUAAAAAUGGCAAUAGGGUACGAGCGAAUAAAAAUUUAUCAGCCAGUCAUAUUGUAACG
Molecule: long non-coding RNA, 319 nt
Filed under: Malus domestica (apple)
Lineage: Eukaryota; Viridiplantae; Streptophyta; Magnoliopsida; Rosales; Rosaceae
Description: long non-coding RNA (MDOM_LNC007047)
Source: RNAcentral